Molecule: ribosomal RNA, 832 nt
Filed under: Cardinium endosymbiont of Brevipalpus phoenicis
Lineage: Bacteria; Pseudomonadati; Bacteroidota; Cytophagia; Cytophagales; Amoebophilaceae
Description: bacterial SSU rRNA
Rfam family: Bacterial small subunit ribosomal RNA
Source: RNAcentral
CCCAUACAAUCUUGCUAGCGCAUGCUAAAAAGAUAAAAGCUCCGGCGGUGUAAAAUGAGCGUGCGUCCUAUUAGCUAGUUGGAGAGGUAAUGGCUCACCAAGGCUACGAUGGGUAGGGGUUCUUAGUGGAAGGUCCCCCACACUGGCACUGAGAUACGGGCCAGACUCCUACGGGAGGCAGCAGUAGGGAAUAUUGGUCAAUGGGCGCAAGCCUGAACCAGCCAUGCCGAGUGCAGGAUGAAGGCUCUCUGAGUUGUAAACUGCUUUUGUACAGGAGCAAAAAAGCCCCUGCGGGGGCUCUUGAGAGUACUGUAAGAAUAAGCACCGGCUAAUUCCGUGCCAGCAGCCGCGGUAAUACGGAAGGUGCAAGCGUUAUCCGGUUUUAUUGGGUUUAAAGGGUGCGUAGGCGGCUUAUUAAGUCAGUUGUGAAAUCCUAGUGCUUAACGCUAGAACUGCGAUUGAUACUAUUAGGCUUGAGUUAAGAAGAGGUAGGCAGAAUUUAUGGUGUAGUAGUGAAAUGCUUAGAUAUCAUAAGGAAUACCAAUAGCGUAGGCAGCUUACUGGUCUUUAACUGACGCUGAGGCACGAAAGCGUGGGGAGCAAACAGGAUUAGAUACCCUGGUAGUCCACGCCGUAAACGAUGAUCACUCGAUAUACAUGAAACCUCGUGUGUGUCUAAGCGAAAGCGUUAAGUGAUCCACCUGGGGAGUAUACUCGCAAGGGUGAAACUCAAAGGAAUUGACGGGGGUCCGCACAAGCGGUGGAGUAUGUGGUUUAAUUCGAUAAUACGCGAGAAACCUUACCUGGGCUAGAAUGUAUUUGACACCUUGAG